RNAcentral lists this ribosomal RNA (1405 nucleotides) under uncultured Micrococcaceae bacterium. Its description in RNAcentral is "partial 16S ribosomal RNA". It matches the Rfam family "Bacterial small subunit ribosomal RNA". The record is from RNAcentral. Lineage: Bacteria; Bacillati; Actinomycetota; Actinomycetes; Micrococcales; Micrococcaceae.
GAGUUUGAUCCUGGCUCAGAGCGAACGCUGGCGGCGUGCCUAACACAUGCAAGUCGAACGUGAAAUGGAGCAAUCCAGAGUAAAGUGGCGUACGGGUGAGUAACACGUAGGUAAUCUACCUGAGUGUCUGGAAUAACCUGCCGAAAGGCGGGCUAAUACUGGAUAGAGCGACGGGACUCGUAAGAGGGUCUUUCGGGAAAGGGAGGGAGCAAUCCCCUUCGCAUUCAGAUGAGCCUGCGUCUCAUUAGCUAGUUGGUGGGGUAAAGGCCCACCAAGGCUUUGAUGGGUAGCUGGUCUGAGAGGAUGAUCAGCCACACUGGAACUGAAACACGGUCCAGACUCCUACGGGAGGCAGCAGUGGGGAAUCUUGCGCAAUGGACGAAAGUCUGACGCAGCCACGCCGCGUGAGUGAAGAAGGCCUUCGGGUUGUAAAGCUCUGUCGGAGGGGACGAAAACUCUUAUAGUGAAUAGCUAUAGGAAUUGACGGUACCCUUAAAGGAAGCACCGGCUAACUUCGUGCCAGCAGCCGCGGUAAUACGAAGGGUGCAAGCGUUAUCCGGAAUUAUUGGGCGUAAAGAGCUCGUAGGCGGUUUGUCGCGUCUGCCGUGAAAGUCCGGGGCUCAACUCCGGAUCUGCGGUGGGUACGGGCAGACUAGAGUGAUGUAGGGGAGACUGGAAUUCCUGGUGUAGCGGUGAAAUGCGCAGAUAUCAGGAGGAACACCGAUGGCGAAGGCAGGUCUCUGGGCAUUAACUGACGCUGAGGAGCGAAAGCAUGGGGAGCGAACAGGAUUAGAUACCCUGGUAGUCCAUGCCGUAAACGUUGGGCACUAGGUGUGGGGGACAUUCCACGUUUUCCGCGCCGUAGCUAACGCAUUAAGUGCCCCGCCUGGGGAGUACGGCCGCAAGGCUAAAACUCAAAGGAAUUGACGGGGGCCCGCACAAGUGGCGGAGCAUGCGGAUUAAUUCGAUGCAACGCGAAGAACCUUACCAAGGCUUGACAUGGGCCGGACCGGGCUGGAAACAGUCCUUCCCCUUUGGGGCCGGUUCACAGGUGGUGCAUGGUUGUCGUCAGCUCGUGUCGUGAGAUGUUGGGUUAAGUCCCGCAACGAGCGCAACCCUCGUUCCAUGUUGCCAGCGCGUAAUGGCGGGGACUCAUGGGAGACUGCCGGGGUCAACUCGGAGGAAGGUGGGGACGACGUCAAAUCAUCAUGCCCCUUAUGUCUUGGGCUUCACGCAUGCUACAAUGGCCGGUACAAAGGGUUGCGAUACUGUGAGGUGGAGCUAAUCCCAAAAAGCCGGUCUCAGUUCGGAUUGGGGUCUGCAACUCGACCCCAUGAAGUCGGAGUCGCUAGUAAUCGCAGAUCAGCAACGCUGCGGUGAAUACGUUCCCGGGCCUUGCACACAC